GGAUAUGUCUUGCGACGAGACUGACCUUUCGCUGAGUCAAUCAACUUCUAAGUUGGUUAAGGAGGGGGAAGAGUCAGUUGACGAGGACGAUCUCCUUGCCUCUGACAAGGAGGACGCCAACGUCACAGUGUUGCGUAAAGACAAAAAAGGAGAUGGUGAGAGUAACCCAAAUUAAUCUCCACCACUCCAAAGCAGCCUCGGCUGCACUGCUCCUCCGAAUGGGUGUAAGUGGGGAGGAGCUCGCCCUAGUCCAGGAACCCUGGAUUCACCAAGAAAGGGUGAGUGGACUAGGCAUGAAAAGCUUUAAGCUAUUGUACGCAAAAGGAUCUGUGAUGAAGACACCGUAGCAGCCAUAUGGGAGACCAGUGUAGGUGCUAUAUUGGUUAUCUCGGCGUACAUGGCUCACGACCACAGCGACCAGCCACCGAACAACCUGGUCUGCAGAUCCAUAGAGAUGGCAAACUCGAAAAGCAUGCCGAUCAUCAUGGGGGCUGAUGCCAAUGCCCAUCACACUGUCUGGGGAAGCUCGGACAUAAACGCUAGAGGUAUCACAAAGGGAUCAAAAUUCUGGACCCAAGUGUGUCCCCAGUGAUGACAUCGCGAGGACG
Molecule: long non-coding RNA, 608 nt
Organism: Lucilia sericata (common green bottle fly)
Lineage: Eukaryota; Metazoa; Arthropoda; Insecta; Diptera; Calliphoridae
Exons: 3
Source: RefSeq, a predicted model, not a curated record